UGAUGCGUAAACGUAAACGAUGUCAGUAAAUUCCUGGAGUUUCUAAACAACAACAGACUGAAAGAAAAAGAAACGGAAAAGAAAUGAAAUUUUAUGUGUCGGGUGAAUCAGAUACUGAGACAUAUAUAUACGAAUAUAUACAGUCAUGUGAAAGAUAUUAUUAUGGGUAUUAUAGAUACUAGGUUUAAAAUGGAAAAACAGUCAGGGCGAUAAAAUCAAAUGCACAAUUUAUUCACCGAUAUUUUCAUAUUUUUUCCGUCUAAAUCCCGUUUACUUCCUUGACAGGAGGUAAAUACAGGUGAAUGAACUGCACAUUGUUUACCUAUUGGUCUGGUUCAAAACCAAUUAAACCUACACAUUUUUUUCCUCAGUCUUACCGUAUUUUCCGUCCUAUAAGUCACACUUUUUUUCAUAGUUUGACUUAUAUAUAAAAAUGUAUAAUUUCACGUUUGUUAUUUUCAUCCUGACAGCCGCUAGAGGGCGCUCUAGGCUUGUGUACCACUAUCUGCUACUCCUGUACCACCAACAUGUAAAAACCGGUAAUCGAGCAGCAGAAAAAUAGUGUGGAGUGGGCGAGAAACUUGUGAGGGCGAAAAGCGGAGGUUACUCUUACUGCAAUGAAGAAAACAUAAAAACCUAAUGGCGGGCUAAAAGCUCGAUGGCCACAGCUAGAGGAAAGAGUUUGCAAAUGGCUGCUUGAACAACGUGCUGCCGGGAGAGGCUUGUCAACCAGAUCUCCAAAGAAAUGCAGAGGAUGGAUACCAACAGGCCCGCACCGUGGAGCUGCAGCAGAGGUCCUCGUCUGUGGCCACUCAGCAGACCACCGUGUCCUCCGUGCCCUCACACCCCUCCACCACCGGAGUAAGUCAGAGUACAAGCCUCCGGUUUAUGAAUGAGGACUAUUCUUUGACUAAUGUAACAAACAGGAAACACUGAAGCAAUACCAAAGACAGGCCAAGUUAAAGCAAUGUAAAAACACAGUAUAGUAAAGGUAAAACAUCUAAAAAACA
RNAcentral lists this long non-coding RNA (1010 nucleotides) under Neogobius melanostomus (round goby). Its description in RNAcentral is "lncRNA (ENSNMLG00000008685.1)". The record is from RNAcentral. Lineage: Eukaryota; Metazoa; Chordata; Actinopteri; Gobiiformes; Gobiidae.